GGCACAAGCGGAGGAGCAUGUGGUUUAAUUCGAUGAUACGCGAGGAACCUUACCUGGGCUCGAACGUAAGAUGACUGUAGGUGAAAGCUUACAUCUCUUCGGAGCAUUUUACGUAGGUGCUGCAUGGUUGUCGUCAGCUCGUGCCGUGAGGUGUCGGGUUAAGUCCCAUAACGAGCGCAACCCCUACCUUUAGUUGCCAUCAGGUUAAGCUGGGGACUCUAAAGGAACUGCCUACGCAAGUAGUGAGGAAGGCGGGGAUGACGUCAAAUCAGCACGGCCCUUACGUCCAGGGCUACACACGUGCUACAAUGGCCGAUACAGAGGGCAGCUACCUGGUGACAGGAUGCAAAUCUCCAAAGUCGGUCUCAGUUCGGAUCGGAGUCUGCAACCCGACUCCGUGAAGUUGGAUCGCUAGUAAUCGCGCAUCAGCCAUGGCGCGGUGAAUACGUUCCCGGGCCUU
This 460-nucleotide ribosomal RNA is filed under the name uncultured Sphingobacteriales bacterium. RNAcentral describes it as "bacterial SSU rRNA". It matches the Rfam family "Bacterial small subunit ribosomal RNA", at positions 922 to 1382 of the family's 1533-position model. The record is from RNAcentral. Lineage: Bacteria; Pseudomonadati; Bacteroidota; Sphingobacteriia; Sphingobacteriales.